Molecule: long non-coding RNA, 1982 nt
Organism: Pseudophryne corroboree (corroboree frog)
Lineage: Eukaryota; Metazoa; Chordata; Amphibia; Anura; Myobatrachidae
Exons: 4
Source: RefSeq, a predicted model, not a curated record
CCCCUGCACGCGUAGAUCCACUGGCCCAUGCUCACCACGGCAGCGGUGGGAGGAGGAUUGCUGGAGGUGCCUGCAAAGAAUAACACCGCGCCGCGGGCGGAGAGACUUUGGCUGGAUGCUGAUGGACAUCCUCCUGUGAGACACAAUGAUCCUUUCCCUGAAUGCCCGGUACCCAGGAAGUGCCCAUGAUUCCCACGUGAUUCGGCAACCAGGGAUAUGGCAAAAAUUAAGCCUGUUGGAAGGUCAAGAUGUGUGAAUCUUGGGAGAUCGUGGAUAUCCUUGCACCCCCUGGCUCAUGACUUCUUACAGCACACCAGGACCAGGACCACAAUCUGCAUUUAAAUCCACCCUUACAGCCACCAAACAGCUGGUGGAGCGCACAAUCGGAGUCCUAAAAGGGCGUUUUCAUGUGCACGACUGCACUGGUGGUGACCUCAUGUAUUCGCCGGAAAUGAGUUGAUGACUGGAACAGAAGAAGAAAGUGCACCUGUUCACAGUCGGAACAGACUUUUUACGUAGACCAUCCUUUGUACACACACAUAUAAAUUCCCUUUACUUGACAUGCAAUUGUUUUUCACAGAUCCUUCUACAUGUUUCGAAAGCCUUUACAUCCUGGUUUCCAGUAGAAUUAAUUAACUUUUAAUAUAUUUGUUCAACUGUGCAGAUUUGUAUUAAGGCUGAGCUGACCCCAAGUAUUGUGUUAGUAAUGUCUCUGGCCAACACUAAUAGACAAGGUGAUAUAUGAAAAGCCUUCUCCUAUAUAUUCUGUGGUUCGUUCAGCACAAAUGCAUUGUGGUGGUUAUUCAACGUUCCAGAUGUGUCCUCAUACAUCUAGCCUCAAUACACCAUGCAGUACGGUAAAGAUCUGAUUGCGGCUGCAGGCAGCGGGGAAGCGAUGCUCCUGCCACCCAAUAGGAUUUAAGGGGGGCUGUUGGCACAUACUAGGAUCGCGCAGCGGGGAGCUAUGCUGCCGCAACCCGUACUUAGACGCUGUGUCUGUCCGCGGCUUUGCGGGAGUGUGUGUAUGAACGCUCCGAUGAACGAUAGCAUAACAAAAGCCUCCUGCUGGUACAUGUUGCCGAGAUACAUACGCAGCGCAGUAAUGCCACGCCAUGCAGAAAUUAUAGGCAAAGCUGUGUGAAGACCUAUCUGUAUAGACAGCAUCACCCUAUAAGUCUCUCCAGCGAUGACCGGCAAAUGCUAUCAUAUGCCGGGAGGGGGGGGGGGUCUUAAAUAUGAAGUAAUAUGGCGAAAACACGUAAUAAGUUACUGUAAAUGUUUAAAAAGUAAAAAAUAAAAGGCUCCCUUCUUUUCCCACUAAUAGAUAAAAGUCUCUUUCCAUGAUAUAGGAGGUCAUUCCGAGUUGUUCGCUAGCUGCAUUCGUUCGCCGUGCAGCAAUGAGGCAAAAAAAGGCACUUCUGCACAUGUGUAUGCGGCGCAAUGCGCACACGCAACGUACUAUUACAACAAACGAUGUAGUUUCACACAAGGUCUAGAGAUCCUUUUCAGUCGCACUGCUGGCCACAGAGUGAAAGGAAGACGGCGUUUCUGGGUGUCAACUGACCGUUUUCAGGGAGUGUUAGAAAACAUGCAGGCAUGCCAGGAAAAACACAGGCGUGGCUGGGCGAACGCAGGGCAUGUUUGUGACAUCAAAACAGGAACUGAACAGAAGUCAUCGCAAGCGCUGAGUAGGUAUUGAGCUACUCUAAAACUGCACAAAAAACUUUGUAGCCGCUCUGUGAUCCUUUCGUUCGCACUUCUGCUAAGCUAAAAUACACUGCCAGUGGGCGGCGGCAUAGCGUUUGCAUGGCUGCUAAAAACAGCUAGCGAGCGAUCAACUCAGAAUGACCACCUUAGCCUAAUGGAAUCUCAUGCGGAGAGGAAAAUAUGAACAGCCUCAUCUUCUAUGGUACUUUGAUCCAGGUAUAGCAUUAAUUUACCGCAGGUUGAUAAAGGAACGAAAGACUGCAUAGGAUAGAGUG